This 261-nucleotide ribosomal RNA is filed under the name Alphaproteobacteria bacterium. Its description in RNAcentral is "partial 16S ribosomal RNA". It matches the Rfam family "Bacterial small subunit ribosomal RNA", at positions 1 to 289 of the family's 1533-position model. Lineage: Bacteria; Pseudomonadati; Pseudomonadota; Alphaproteobacteria. The record is from RNAcentral.
UCUAACCUAAGAGUUUGAUCCUGGCUCAGAACGAACGCUGGCGGCAUGCCUAACACAUGCAAGUCGAACGCUAUCUUUGAUAGAGUGGCGCACGGGUGAGUAACGCGUGGGAACCUGCCUUUUUCUGCGGGACAACGGUUGGAAACGACCGCUAAUACCGCAUACGCCCUACGGGGGAAAGGUCCGCCGGAGAAAGAGGGGCCCGCGUUUGAUUAGCUUGUUGGUAGGGUAAUGGCCUACCAAGGCGACGAUCUUUAGCUG